Molecule: non-coding RNA, 258 nt
Organism: Cinara cedri
Lineage: Eukaryota; Metazoa; Arthropoda; Insecta; Hemiptera; Aphididae
Source: the annotation of a GenBank genome assembly
UGAGUAAUUUACAGUUUGUAAUUAACUAGAAAGCCAACGUGCCACUGUACCAAUAAAACAAAAAUAUUUUACUGGCGUUGGCAUCUGUUGGCGCGCUAGUUCCUCACUGGCUUUGCCAUGAACUGCCAGGGAAGGUUUACACGUUACCAGUCACUGGCAUUCAGAAACUGGAAACAUCGACUGGUACGCCGGCUGGCACCGUAUAAAUCGGCCCUUAGUAAUAGAUAUACUAUUUAACGUUAGUAAUUAGUAAAUAUC